GUGACUUUCACACUUCAUGACUGAGAGCUGCUGCUACAGCAACUUCACCCACAGCUACCAUGACUUUGAUCCCCGUCUUCAUCUGGACACUGAUCCUCUGGACUCAAGAGUGCAGAGGUCAAGCCACAGUAACUCAGAGUCCUGCAGUGAAAUCUGCUCGUCCAGGAGAAACAGUCAGCAUCAACUGUAGAACCAGUCAGGCAGUGUACAAGUACUCAGAUGGUGAGGCGUUACACUGGUAUCAGCAGAAACCUGGAGAAGCUCCUAAACUCCUCAUUAAACUUGUAAAUCAGCGACAGUCAGGUUUUCCAGCUCGUUUCAGUGGCAGUGGAUCUGGAUCUGAUUUCACUCUGACCAUCAGUGGAGUCCAGACUGAAGAUGCAGGAGAUUACUACUGUCAGAGUUACCAUAGCAUCUCUGGCUACUGGUUCACACAGUGUUAUAGACUCAUACAAAAACCUCCCUCAGUCAGAUUGUAGAGAGACUGCACUGCUGCAGCUGGGAGCGACUGCAGGUGCUGAGUUGGAGGAUGUGAUACGACACAAUGACACUCUGAAGAAGAGAGGAUCCACACCACACUAACUCACAACUUACAUCAAAAAUCUCUCAAUAAUCAUAACACCACAGUACACAGAGUCAACUCACAUCCACUCUGAAAAAUUACAGUUUUAUAAGUUUAUAAAUUAUUGUGGUACUAUUUCUCAUGACUGAAGCUGUUUGGUGCAAAAUUGGCUCUUUUGUUUCUCCUAACAUUUGAGAUUGGAGCUGGUGUUCCUUCUCUUCACUUCCUCUUUUUUAAAGUGUAACCCACUUCAGACAAGCCUGUAGUCCUCCUGACGUCUCUCCCUCUUUCAACUCCUAUAUCUCAAAAUGUAUCAUCUCACCUUUAAAACACAAUAAUGUAAACAUAUUGUACAUAGUCAUCCAUCAUUCACCAGCGUGAGGUAUCAGCGUUAUCUGACUCUUCCUCACUCCCUCAAUCCUCCCCUCCUUCUCUUCUUUCUCUGUGGCUUUUAUCAUUCAAUGUUUCUGUAUGAAUCUCAGUGUGUUGGGCAGCUCUUCAUCUGAAACGAAAUCUCACAAGUCUGAGCUGCAGUAUAUCAAUAGAGAUGCAUCACUAAGAUAAGAUAAGAUAAGAUAAGGAGAAGAUAAGAUAAUAUAUACAACAGUGGGGAAAUUUCUAUGUUUCAACAGCAAAGAAAAAUAAAGUAGGAACAGUACAGUGUAUAAAUACAAAAGUAAAAGAAAAAGCAAUACAAUAGUUACACUUUCAAUCAAAUUUCAAAUUGCAAUAGCGAAUAUAAUAUUGCACAAUUUAAAAAGGUUUUAUUGCACAGUUGCAAUAGAUUUGAUAUAUGUUGUGACUGUUAUGGAGAACUAUUGUGUAACAACAUUUCACAGGAUAAGAAAUGUGUAGUAUUAGAAAACUAUCUGACUUUUUCUCCUCAUACUGUAUCAGAGUCACAAAAUGGGAAAUGAGUUUGAAAAGCAUGAUGAAAUAUGUAUAAAUCAUGAUUAUUAAAUUGUCCCUGAUGAGCAGGACUCAGGAAUGUCAUGUGUAGCUCAAUAAAGUGAGAGUGGUUUUAAACUCAUUUUAUUAUAACAAAUUAAAGAAAUUAC
This is a non-coding RNA of Clarias gariepinus (North African catfish), 1620 nucleotides long. The record is from the annotation of a RefSeq genome assembly. NCBI's taxonomy places the organism in Eukaryota, Metazoa, Chordata, Actinopteri, Siluriformes, Clariidae.